Molecule: ribosomal RNA, 495 nt
Filed under: uncultured bacterium
Lineage: Bacteria
Description: partial 16S ribosomal RNA
Rfam family: Bacterial small subunit ribosomal RNA
Source: RNAcentral
GACGAACGCUGGCGGCGUGCCUAAUACAUGCAAGUAGAACGCUGAAGGAGGAGCUUGCUUCUCUGGAUGAGUUGCGAACGGGUGAGUAACGCGUAGGUAACCUGCCUGGUAGCGGGGGAUAACUAUUGGAAACGAUAGCUAAUACCGCAUAAUAGUAGAUGUUGCAUGACAUUUGCUUAAAAGGUGCAAUUGCAUCACUACCAGAUGGACCUGCGUUGUAUUAGCUAGUUGGUGAGGUAACGGCUCACCAAGGCGACGAUACAUAGCCGACCUGAGAAGGUGAUCGGCCACACUGGGACUGAGACACGGCCCAGACUCCUACGGGAGGCAGCAGUAGGGAAUCUUCGGCAAUGGACGGAAGUCUGACCGAGCAACGCCGCGUGAGUGAAGAAGGUUUUCGGAUCGUAAAGCUCUGUUGUAAGAGAAGAACGAGUGUGAGAGUGGAAAGUUCACACUGUGACGGUAUCUUACCAGAAAGGGACGGCUAACUACGUG